GAUGAACGCUGGCGGUAUGCUUAACACAUGCAAGUCGAACGGAUGUUUUCGGACAUUAGUGGCGGACGGGUGAGUAACGCGUGAGAAUCUGCCUAUAGGUUGGGGACAACAGAUGGAAACGUCUGCUAAUACCCGAUGUGCCGAGAGGUAAAAGCUUUAGUGCCUGUAGAUGAGCUCGCGUCCGAUUAGCUAGUUGGUUGGGUAAAGGCUGACCAAGGCGACGAUCGGUAGCUGGUCUGAGAGGAUGAUCAGCCACACUGGGACUGAGACACGGCCCAGACUCCUACGGGAGGCAGCAGUGGGGAAUUUUCCGCAAUGGGCGAAAGCCUGACGGAGCAAUACCGCGUGCGGGACGAAGGCUUUUGGGUCGUAAACCGCUUUUGUUAGGGAAGAAGAACUGACGGUACCUAACGAAUCAGCAUCGGCUAACUCCGUGCCAGCAGCCGCGGUAAUACGGGGGAUGCAAGCGUUAUCCGGAAUUAUUGGGCGUAAAGCGUCCGCAGGUGGUUUAUCAAGUCUGCUGUCAAAGCGUGGGGCUUAACCCCAUACAGGCAGUGGAGACUGAGAGACUAGAGUACGGUAGGGGUAGCGGGAAUUCCCAGUGUAGCGGUGAAAUGCGUAGAUAUUGGGAAGAACACCAGCGGCGAAGGCGCGCUACUGGGCCGAAACUGACACUCAUGGACGAAAGCUAGGGGAGCGAAAGGGAUUAGAUACCCCUGUAGUCCUAGCUGUAAACGAUGACAACUAGGUGUUGCGCG
RNAcentral lists this ribosomal RNA (758 nucleotides) under uncultured cyanobacterium. Its description in RNAcentral is "bacterial SSU rRNA". It matches the Rfam family "Bacterial small subunit ribosomal RNA", at positions 28 to 829 of the family's 1533-position model. The record is from RNAcentral. Lineage: Bacteria; Bacillati; Cyanobacteriota.